CCUGGCCACUUGCCCACGCCACACGCCCGUAGGCUCCGGUCAGGGUCAGCUCCCGCUGGGCGCCCUUCAGCCAGCAGGCAGGACCCCGUGGCCCAGGCUGCUCUUGCCGUGAGGCCUGGCGCCCAGGUGGUCCCGUGGAGACCUGUGGAGGCAGAGGGCACCCAGGCCUCUGAGCGCCUCGGCCUCCCCGCAGAUGCCCGCGCCUCUGGUCGGCGAGCUCCUCGCCAGCCGUCCCAGCCUCUCCCUGCAGCGCCGCCUGUCCUGCCGGGGCCUGGCCGCUCCCUACGGGCCCUGGGGAAGGAGGAAGCUUCCCUGUAGCCUCCGGUCAGCUGGCGGGGACCUGUGGCCUCUGGGCCACCACUGCCCGCAGGCGGGGGCUGCUCUGGAAGGCAGCCUUCCCAGCAGCACCCUGUGGCCUUCAGGGUCCUGGGAACACCGAGUGCCCUUCUUGAGUUGGGGCUGGUGAGGGGGACCCCUGGGACCACCAUCCUGCCGGCCACCCUCCCAGGUCCACACGGUCUUCCAGGGCUCACAGGGCAGGGGGGCAGAGCCACGAUGGCUUGGCGUUGCCGUGUCCCCAGCGAACGCUAGACCCGAGGGACACCCCGCUCCACCUGUCCCUGCCACAGUGUCCCAGUUCAGUAAGUGGCACUUCCUUCCACCCAGUGGCUCGGGACAAACCCCAGAGUCAAGCGUCCCCCGCCCACUGCCCACCCAUCACCGCGCCCUGCAGCUCCAGAGCCAGCACGCGCCCGCCAAGCCACCACGCCGUGGGACUCUGCAGGUCUGUCCUGGUUCUGCCUGCCACCCAGCGGCCUCCUCCUGGUCCCCAGGGUCACCAGGAAUGGCCCCCUGCCGGCUCCACCCAGCCCUGGCCUCAGAAGGGACCGGGCUGCCCCUCCACGUCCCCGUGUGGCCCAGAGCGGGGAGGGCUGCGGGCCAGGCUCCCUGGAGCAGACCCUGAGGACACUGUGGGGCCCUCCCCCCUGGACACAGCUGACCCACGUCCUUGAGGUUCCCGACCUGGCUGCAGGCAGAAGCCUCACGCCCCGCGGUACCUUGGGACCCCCUUUUGGAUUUCACUCCCACGAGGUGCUAAGGACAUGGGGACUCCAGAUUUGGGGUGUCCUCUCCCAAGUUUACGUGACUGACGGGGAGGAUUGAAGCCACCGUAGAGCGCGUGCUCCUGAGCGGCCCCGGUCCCUGGACCCCCGCAGAGGAAGGGGCCUGGCGGGGUGGGCUCCCGCGCGGCGUGGUCACGCCCGAGCUCAGGGGCCCCGCUCACCCGGAGGUGGAUGGUGUCGGGGUGUAGACCCGGACCUUGCCCUCACCAUCCUGGCCCUGGCUCCUGCAGGCCACGCUGACCACCAGGUGCUGGAGGGUCCAGAGCUUGCCCAGGGUCAGCUCCUGGGAGCGGCGGAGACCACGACCCCGGGGCUGGCCAGGCGCAGGUCGCCUGGGAGGGCAGAGGGAGAACGGGCCAGGAGGGGCAGGAGCGGCUCUCAGAGGCCCGCGGCCUCCUCGUGGCCACAUGGCCCCAUCUCAACACCCGCGAUGACUGGGAUGGAACUCUCCAGGACAGCGUGACGCUGUGAUCUCGACAGGGACUUGGAUGGCGUGAGCCUCUGCGCCUGUCCGACUCUCAACGUACCCGGGGACCGCGCAUUUCCCCUGGUGACCGCGACGCAUGCUUCAGUGUCCAGGAGAGAUGUCCCCACGCCUGGACCUUCCCGCAAGGAGGACCGACAGGCGGACAGAUGUGCCAUCGGGCAGGAGCGUAACGCGGCCACGGCAGAGGCCAGGGCCAGGGCUCACCACACGAUUCCUUCAGCUUCUCUGUUUGAGACUUUUCCAGAAUAAAAUGUGGGGGAAAGAGAGGGUGGGAGCUGGGAUCCCCGGAGGCCACGUGUCCCCCGUGCAGGGCAGGGCAGCUGGGCAUACGGAGCCCGGCCACGGAGCCAGCCAUGAGGAGGGCGGAGAGCCCCGACUGCCGGGCAGCAGGACAAAGGACACUCUCAUCAGGAAGUGGAAGUCCCACCGCGGCCACCAUCACCGACACGCUGCCCCUGGACAGCACCGUCAGCCCCUGCAGACUGACCGGCUCGUCAGAGCCAGCUCCUGCCCGACAAACCCUCAGGAGCUAACCCAGUAAGUGCCGCUCAGAACAGUGGACCUGGGCAGUGCAGCCCGAGGCACAGCUGCCACCUCCGUGGAACUUGUGGUCGUGGGGGGACGGGGGGGACAGGGGGAUCUUGAAUCAAUAAAUAUAGACGCG
RNAcentral lists this long non-coding RNA (2275 nucleotides) under Marmota monax (woodchuck). Lineage: Eukaryota; Metazoa; Chordata; Mammalia; Rodentia; Sciuridae. The record is from RNAcentral.